GGCCUUAUGGUCUAGUAGCAUGAUUCUCGCUUUGGGUGUACACCGCUGCGAGAGGUCCUGGGUUCAAUUCCCAGUGAGGCCC
Non-coding RNA from Marasmius sp. AFHP31, 82 nucleotides. NCBI's taxonomy places the organism in Eukaryota, Fungi, Basidiomycota, Agaricomycetes, Agaricales, Marasmiaceae. The record is from the annotation of a GenBank genome assembly.